GGGAGUGGGCGCAUGAUCGCUGGCGGCAAUUGCCGCCAGAGGAAAGUCCGGACUCCGCAGGGCAGGGAGGUUCGUAACACGAACUGGGGGCGACCCCGAGGAAAGUGCCACAGAAAACAAACCGCCGGGCAACCGGUAAGGGUGAAAAGGUGGGGUAAGAAACCCCUCCUGGAGCAAAACCAAAUAGGGAAGCGUUUGAGGGCGGCCCGCCCGAAGCUUCCGGGUAGGUUGCAAGAGAUGCCGGGCAACCGGCAUCCACAGAGAAAUGAUCAUGGCCCCUGCAAAGGGGUACAGAAUCCGGCUUACAGCCCACUCCCUUUU
Molecule: RNase P RNA, 321 nt
Filed under: Deltaproteobacteria bacterium HGW-Deltaproteobacteria-3
Lineage: Bacteria; Deltaproteobacteria
Description: RNase P RNA component class A
Rfam family: Bacterial RNase P class A
About the family: Ribonuclease P (RNase P) is a ubiquitous endoribonuclease, found in archaea, bacteria and eukarya as well as chloroplasts and mitochondria.
Source: RNAcentral